UACGUAGGGGGCGAGCGUUGUCCGGAAUCAUUGGGCGUAAGAGCGUGUAGGUGGCUUGGAAAGUCUUACGUGAAAGCCUGCGGCUCAACCGCAGAAGUGCAUGGGAAACUACCUCGCUAGAGUCCGGAAGAGGAGAGCGGAAUUCCUGGUGUAGCGGUGGAAUGCGCAGAUAUCAGGAGGAACACCCGUGGCGAAGGCGGCUCUCUGGGACGGUACUGACACUGAGACGCGAAAGCGUGGGGAGCGAACAGG
RNAcentral lists this ribosomal RNA (252 nucleotides) under uncultured bacterium. RNAcentral describes it as "partial 16S ribosomal RNA". It matches the Rfam family "Bacterial small subunit ribosomal RNA", at positions 524 to 776 of the family's 1533-position model. The record is from RNAcentral.